Ictidomys tridecemlineatus (thirteen-lined ground squirrel) is the source of this 107-nucleotide small nuclear RNA. Lineage: Eukaryota; Metazoa; Chordata; Mammalia; Rodentia; Sciuridae. The record is from Ensembl.
GUGCUCACUUUGGCAGUUCAUGUACUAAAUUUGGAACAAUGCAGAGAAGAUUAGCAUGGCUCCUAUGAAAUACUGGCAUGUAAAUUUGCAAAGCAUUUCACACUAAC